This 563-nucleotide ribosomal RNA is filed under the name uncultured bacterium. RNAcentral describes it as "partial 16S ribosomal RNA". It matches the Rfam family "Bacterial small subunit ribosomal RNA", at positions 355 to 907 of the family's 1533-position model. The record is from RNAcentral.
UGGGGAAUAUUGCACAAUGGGCGCAAGCCUGAUGCAGCCAUGCCGCGUGUGUGAAGAAGGCCUUCGGGUUGUAAAGCACUUUCAGCGAGGAGGAAGGUGGUGAGCUUAAUACGCUCAUCAAUUGACGUUACUCGCAGAAGAAGCACCGGCUAACUCCGUGCCAGCAGCCGCGGUAAUACGGAGGGUGCAAGCGUUAAUCGGAAUUACUGGGCGUAAAGCGCACGCAGGCGGUUUGUUAAGUCAGAUGUGAAAUCCCCGGGCUCAACCUGGGAACUGCAUUUGAAACUGGCAAGCUAGAGUCUCGUAGAGGGGGGUAGAAUUCCAGGUGUAGCGGUGAAAUGCGUAGAGAUCUGGAGGAAUACCGGUGGCGAAGGCGGCCCCCUGGACGAAGACUGACGCUCAGGUGCGAAAGCGUGGGGCAGCAAACAGGAUUAGAUACCCUGGUAGUCCACGCUGUAAACGAUGUCGAUUUUGGAGGUUGUGCCCUUGAGGCGUGGCUUCCGGAGCUAACGCGUUAAAUCGACCGCCUGGGGAGUACGGCCGCAAGGUUAAAAACUUAAAGG